UACGUAGGUGGCAAGCGUUCUCCGGAAUUAUUUGGCGUAAAGCGCUCGCAGGCGGUUUCUUAAGUCUGAUGUGAAAGCCCACGGCUCAACCGUGGAGGGCCCUUGGAAACUGGGAGACUUGAGUGCAGAAGAGGAGAGUGGAAUUCCACGUGUAGCGGUGAAAUGCGUAGAGAUGUGGAGGAACACCAGUGGCGAAGGCGACUCUCUGGUGUGUAACUGACGCUGAGGAGCGAAAGCGUGGGGAGCGAACAGG
RNAcentral lists this ribosomal RNA (253 nucleotides) under uncultured bacterium. RNAcentral describes it as "partial 16S ribosomal RNA". It matches the Rfam family "Bacterial small subunit ribosomal RNA", at positions 524 to 776 of the family's 1533-position model. The record is from RNAcentral.